AUCAGCGCGAACACCUGUUCCAGUCCGAACUCUGAAGUCGAAACUGGUGGUCAUCAGUGGAAAGUCCGUGGAGCCAGAAGAUCGGAGGCCCCCGACGGAAGAAGGUGCGGCCGAUCCUGGGCGUUUCUCUUCGGCCGACAAAACUCCGACAGUUCAAACCGCUCGACCGGGCCGGGCCCGUUUAUGCGCCGGAGGCGGCUCGCCUCGCCACCCCCGGCCCCUCGUCUGCGCCACUAGCACGGCCCUCCGCCUCCGCCUGCCAUGGCUGAGGAGCUCCUCGUCGUCCUCAACAAAAAGGAUCCGACCUGCGGCCUCGGGUUCUCGCUCCUCGGCACCCCCGGCCUACCGCCCAUCAUCUACGACAUCGUCGAGAACUCGCCCGCAGCCGAAAGCGGCAACGUCGAAGCUGGAGAUGUCAUAUUAAAAGUGAACGAAACCGAUGUCAAUAGGUUGAACACAAAAGAAGUUCUAAAAUGUCUACGCCUUUGCGAAAACCCUGUAUCUCUCAGAUUAAAAAGAGACCCAGUAAUGAAGGCGAGGAUGAGGCACUACCUUUCGACCCCGGUCCAGUGCCGGGGGGAGAUAAACCUGCCAGAGUUGAUAUCCGACUGCGGCAGCACCCUCGAUGAGUGUGCCGGUGGAGUCGAGCCACCACCGCCGGUGCACCCGCCGCCCCUUGAAGACGUGACGCGAACAAACGGCGACUCGCUGUCUGAACCUAAGCACGACCACCAGCAGCCCAAGUUCGAGGCGUUCGUCAUGACCGGUGAUCGAGUCCUUAAGAUUUGCAGGACCCAGCAAGGUUCUGUACUUCCUAAGCAACAGAGGAAAGUGGACUCGCUUAGGAAUAACAUCCACCCUUACAAUAACCACCAGAGGCACGCUUCUGUCCCGACAAGCCCUGUAGAGGCCGAACGACACACGAACAAGGUCGGCUCAGCGAGCACCUCGCCGACUCCACCGGCCUCUGGCCCCACAUCGGCGGCCGUCACUUCCACUACUGCUUCUUACGUUGUCAGAACUUCCAAAUCUGAGGAUCACCUACAGUCCAACAAGGACUCUAUGUCUGCUGUCGCGAUAGACAUAGACGAUGACGUCACCUCCUCUCUCAACACGCUCUUAGACACUAGGCAAGACAGUGAAAAUGAGGACCAAAGGAUAGUAUGGACAUACAAUGCACCCUCGUCAUCAAAUUCUAGCUCAAGAACGACGACGUCUUCCAAUAAUGUAUCACCACACCGAUCCGGCUCGCCGGCAUCCCCCACAUCGGUUUCAAGUUCCGUUAUGUCCUCUUCCUCUUCUUCGUCAGGAUGUUCUGAUAAGAAGUUGAACGCUGAUGAUCGAAAGCCCGAUUCACUCCCAGCCAUUCCUCAAGGUGAUCUUUCCCAAUCUGAGGCAAUCUCCAACAUUAGUUCUCCUGAUUUUAUAGAGGAAGAUUCUGAAAUUAUCGCUCGGGACUUUGUCAUGGAAGUGAGCGAUCCUAGUGACUCCGACUCGACUUUGCUUGUAAGUGAGACUACCAAAGGCAGCCGGCAACACAGAAUAGUUAUUCAGGUGAAAGGCCCUGAAAAAGGUUGCACUAAUAAUAAUAACAACAACAAUAACAACAGUAGAUCCAACAGCCCAAGGCAACGUAGACUCAGUACCGGAAGCAACAAAGGAAACAAUGUUGACCAUUACCAGAACAUGGAUCAUAAUAUUUAUGAGGACCUAGAUGAAGAAAGCUUGUUGCAGCUUACAGAAGGUGCUGCCAACCUUGCAAAAUCAGUGUCGCCACCUCCUUCCCAAAACCAGGAAGAGGAUUCUGAUGUUGACUCUCUCCACUCCUAUCACUACAGCCCAAAGGGCGUUGACAUCCCAAGUGCUGUUAGGCUUGCAAAACGUCUCUUCACCCUUGACGGUUUUAAGAAAUCAGACGUAUCAAGGCAUCUGAGUAAAAACAACGAAUUCAGUCGAGCCGUAGCUGAAGAGUACCUGAAAUAUUUCACUUUCAUGGGAGAUUCUCUCGAUGCAGCUCUCAGGAAGUUCCUCACUCAAUUCUGCCUUACCGGUGAGACGCAGGAGCGUGAAAGAGUACUGGUACAUUUUAGUAAAAGAUAUUUAGACUGCAAUCCUGGCAUAUUUACUUCUCAAGAUGCGGUACACACAUUGACAUGUGCGAUAAUGUUGCUCAAUACUGACCUACACGGACAGACGAUAGGGAGGAAAAUGACUUGUAACGAAUUCAUUGACAAUCUAUCCGAACUAAAUGACGGUGAGAAUUUCCCGAGGGACAUUCUUAAAAACUUAUAUCAGUCAAUUAAAAAUUAUCCACUCGAAUGGGCAUUAGAUGAAGAGACAGAUGACCAAGGAUCCUCUAAAAUUAGUUCAGAUAGAGACGGCGUGACUGGUGCACAAACGAGUAAAGGGCUUUUUGACGUGCCUUCAACAACACCAGCUAUCGAGUACAAAAAGGGCUACGUGAUGAGGAAAUGCUGUGUGGAGCCCAAUGGCAAAAAGACACCUUUGGGGAAAAGAGGGUGGAAAAUGUAUUACUGCACUCUUAGAGAUCUUGUACUCUAUCUGCAUAAAGACGAACACGGAUUCAGGAGGACGCAGCUGAGCGACAAUCUUCACAAUGCUGUGCGCAUCCAUCAUGCACUCGCUACGAAAGCGACCGACUACACGAAGAAGCUCCACGUAUUCAGGUUGGAGACUGCAGACCAGGCUGUUUACUUAUUCCAAACGAGUGAUUCGAAAGAGCUGCAGUCUUGGAUAGACACGAUCAACUUUGUUUGCGCGAGUUUCUCAGGACAACCUCUCCCUGGGGCUGUCGGCUCUCAGAAAAAAUUCCAAAGGCCACUUCUUCCGUCUUCGCACACAAAACUGAAUUUUAGAGAUCAAUUAAGAGAUCAUGAAACUAUGGUUCAGAAGCUAGAAUCGGAGCUGGAAAGUCAUAGGAAACAUCCUCCGGAAAGAGGCGCCAAGCAACUUGUACAUUACAACUUUAGAGAAAAAGACAACUACCUUCAAUAUGAAUUGAAACGGUACAAGUUGUACGUGUCGUUGCUGAGAUCUCGAAUGACUCAGUUGCCCGAUAUGAGCGAGGGUUCUCUCAUCGAAAGCAUAGGCGAGGCGGCCGAGGAGGGCGGCUGUGGCGAGGACAGGCGAGGGAGCCCGGCUAGCAACAGAAGUUGCUGCUGCCCUUCUUAUAGUCUUCAUAACUUCAAAGUCCCAGCGAAUUACCAAGCGCUGCCUUCACUAGAGACGUCGGAGCCCUCUUUCUAGUUGAGAGAAGCACACCAAUUUAGUUUCUCUUGUUUCCAAAGCUAGUCCCCGACGAGCUUAUGGUGCAAAAACAAGGUGCGAAUAGUGCUGGUUAAAGUUAAAAAAAAUUAAAAGUAUCUC
RNAcentral lists this unclassified non-coding RNA (3387 nucleotides) under Cimex lectularius (bed bug). Its description in RNAcentral is "exchange factor for Arf-6, transcript variant X2". The record is from RNAcentral. Lineage: Eukaryota; Metazoa; Arthropoda; Insecta; Hemiptera; Cimicidae.